AGCCGCGGUAAUUCCAGCUCCAAUAGCGUAUAUUAAAGUUGUUGCAGUUAAAAAGCUCGUAGUUGAAUUUUAGGCCUGGCCGGGCGGUCCGUCUUUGGCGAGUACUGUCCUGUGUCGGGUCUUCCUUCUGGUGAACCAGUAUGUCCUUUAUUGGGUGUGCCGGGGAGCCAGGACCAUUACCUUGAAAAAAUUAGAGUGUUUAAAGCGGGCUUUUGCUUGAAUAGAUUAGCAUGGAAUAAUAGAAUAGGACGUUGUGGUUCUAUUUUGUUGGUUUCUAGGACCACCGUAAUGAUUAAUAGGGAUAGUUGGGGGCAUUAGUAUUCAAUUGUCAGAGGUGAAAUUCUUGGAUUUAUUGAAGACUAACUAUUGCGAAAGCAUUUGCCAAGGAUGUUUUCAUUAAUCAAGAACGAAAGUUAGGGGAUCGAAGACGAUCAGAUACCGUCGUAGUCUUAACCAUAAACUAUGCCGACUAGGAAUCGGGCGACGUUAUUUUCAUGACUCGCUCGGCGCCUUAUG
This 516-nucleotide ribosomal RNA is filed under the name uncultured Archaeospora. RNAcentral describes it as "SSU rRNA". It matches the Rfam family "Eukaryotic small subunit ribosomal RNA", at positions 572 to 1092 of the family's 1831-position model. Lineage: Eukaryota; Fungi; Glomeromycota; Glomeromycetes; Archaeosporales; Archaeosporaceae. The record is from RNAcentral.